RNAcentral lists this ribosomal RNA (494 nucleotides) under uncultured bacterium. RNAcentral's name for it is "partial 16S ribosomal RNA". It matches the Rfam family "Bacterial small subunit ribosomal RNA", at positions 30 to 507 of the family's 1533-position model. The record is from RNAcentral.
AUUGAACGCUGGCGGCAUGCUUUACACAUGCAAGUCGAACGGCAGCGGGGAGGAGCUUGCUUCUCUGCCGGCGAGUGGCGAACGGGUGAGUAAUACAUCGGAACGUGUCGAGAAGAGGGGGAUAACCACCCGAAAGGGUGGCUAAUACCGCAUAAAUUCUGAGGAAGAAAGCUGGGGACCUAGGAAUAGGCCUAGCGCUUUUUGAGCGGCCGAUGUCGGAUUAGCUAGUUGGUGAGGUAACGGCUCACCAAGGCGAAGAUCUGUAGCGGGUCUGAGAGGAGGAUCCGCCACACUGGGACUGAGACACGGCCCAGACUCCUACGGGAGGCAGCAGUGGGGAAUUUUGGACAAUGGGGGCAACCCUGAUCCAGCCAUGCCGCGUGUAUGAAGAAGGCCUUAGGGUUGUAAAGUACUUUUGUUAGGGAAGAAAAGUCAGCUGUGAAUAAUGGCUGAUACUGACGGUACCUAAAGAAUAAGCACCGGCUAACUACGUG